UGAAGGACUUUACGGAGGGAAAACACAAUGACUGAGUGGCGGACGGGUGAGUAACGCGUAGGGAACCUGGCCCUUACAGGGGGAUAACAGAUGGAAACAACUGCUAAUACCGCAUAAGCGCCCAGCUUCGCAUGAGGCAGAGUGAAAAACUAAGGUGGUAAGGGAUGGCCCUGCGUCCGAUUAGCUAGUUGGUAUGGUAACGGCAUACCAAGGCGACGAUCGGUAGCCGGCCUGAGAGGGUGGACGGCCACAUUGGGACUGAGACACGGCCCAAACUCCUACGGGAGGCAGCAGUGGGGGAUAUUGCACAAUGGGGGAAACCCUGAUGCAGCGACACCGCGUGGGUGAAGAAGCGCUUCGGCGUGUAAAGCCCUAUCAGUGGGGAAGAAAAAGGACGGUACCCAAAGAAGAAGCACCGGCUAAAUACGUGCCAGCAGCCGCGGUAAUACGUAUGGUGCAAGCGUCAUCCGGAAUGACUGGGUGUAAAGGGAGCGUAGACGGUUGUACAAGUCUGAUGUGAAGGCCCACGGCUCAACUGUGGGAGUGCAUUGGAAACUGUAGAACUAGAGUAUCGGAGAGGCAAGUGGAAUUCCUAGUGUAGCGGUGAAAUGCGUAGAUAUUAGGAGGAACACCAGUGGCGAAGGCGGCUUGCUGGACGAAAACUGACGUUGAGGCUCGAAAGCGUGGGGAGCAAACAGGAUUAAAUACCCUGGUAGUCCACGCUGUAAACGAUGAAUACUAGGUGUUGGGGCCC
This 754-nucleotide ribosomal RNA is filed under the name uncultured bacterium. RNAcentral's name for it is "bacterial SSU rRNA". It matches the Rfam family "Bacterial small subunit ribosomal RNA", at positions 63 to 831 of the family's 1533-position model. The record is from RNAcentral.